RNAcentral lists this ribosomal RNA (492 nucleotides) under uncultured bacterium. Its description in RNAcentral is "partial 16S ribosomal RNA". It matches the Rfam family "Bacterial small subunit ribosomal RNA", at positions 29 to 507 of the family's 1533-position model. The record is from RNAcentral.
AGUGAACGCUGGCGGUAGGCCUAACACAUGCAAGCCGAACGGCAGCACAGUAAGAGUUUGCUCUUACGGGUGGCGAGUGGCGGACGGGUGAGGAAUACAUCGGAAUCUACUUUUUCGUGGGGGAUAACGUAGGGAAACUUACGCUAAUACCGCAUACGACCUACGGGUGAAAGCAGGGGAUCUUCGGACCUUGCGCGAUUGAAUGAGCCGAUGUCGGAUUAGCUAGUUGGCGGGGUAAAGGCCCACCAAGGCGACGAUCCGUAGCUGGUCUGAGAGGAUGAUCAGCCACACUGGAACUGAGACACGGUCCAGACUCCUACGGGAGGCAGCAGUGGGGAAUAUUGGACAAUGGGCGCAAGCCUGAUCCAGCCAUACCGCGUGGGUGAAGAAGGCCUUCGGGUUGUAAAGCCCUUUUGUUGGGAAAGAAAAGCAGCAGGUUAAUACCCCGCUGUUCUGACGGUACCCAAAGAAUAAGCACCGGCUAACUUCGUG